ACAUGAUCAAUACUGAGACACUUGGUUUCCUAAUAGUCUCUCUCUCACCUUCUUUGGAAGGGGUUCCUCAUUCGUCAUGCUGAACUCUGAAAGGAAAGUGAAAGCAGUAGCAAUUAAUUCAGUGGAAGCUUCAAAAGCAAGACGUUCGGUUCAAUAAUGAUACUUGAGUUCGAAUGAACUGCUAGUUACAGCAGAUCUUGCAAAUAUUCGGACAACUUUCUUUUCGCAGUUCCUUUGAGGCGCACACCUCUACCGCACGUUUGUUGUGAUGGAGAUCCGGGUGGAGAGCGCGGGGAAACAGAGAAGGUAUUGUCCAUCCUGCUGAGUUUUGAUGUAGAAUCGCUGCCCGACAAGGUCAAGUUAGGAAAUGUUUGGUCCCUCUGCUGGGUAUUGAUGUAUGGGAACAUGUCUACUAUCGCCAGUACAAGAACGUCCAACCCGACUACGUCAAAGCCAUCUGCAUCCAGUCUGCCAAAAAUUAGACUAUUCCCCCUCAGAACACACACACUAGCACUUCAUCUUUGCCCCAAAACCUUAUCCCCUCAGACCUUAACUCCCUUAAUGGCUUACAAAAUAUAUUCAUAACUCAAAUGAAGAUGGCUUUCACAUACGGUACCAUGUAGGUGUCAUAUGUCCAGAGAGCAUUUUUAGUCUGCAAAGCUUUUUGUCUGACUGUGCUGCACCAAUAUUAGGCAAAUGUGUUUGAUGUAAUAUGAUCAAAUAUUUAAUUUGAGUUGUAUCUGCUUGUUGUUUUUGUUUAAAGGUCAGUGUAACUCACUUACAUGUAGUGUCUAGGUUGCAGGUAGCCUAGCGGUUAGUGUUGGGCCAGUAACCAAAAUGUUAGUUUGAAUCCACGAGCCGACAAGGUGAAAAAUCUGUCGAUCUGCUCUUGAGCAAGGCACUUAACCCUAAUUGCUCAAGGGUUGCUGUCAAUGGCUGAUCCCUGGAAGUGACCCCACUCUCCAAGGCUGUCUCAGGGACAGUUAGGAUAUGCUAAAAAUACAUUUCCAUUACCCACUUAUACGUGCAGUGAAACAAGACACAUUCAAGCACCCCCUAUUUGAACUUUAAUACCACCAUAAUUAAUCAGCAUACACAAUGUCACACUACAAAUAUUCCGCAAGAUUGAUAGCCACUGUCCUGAUGUUGAAAGGUGUGACCAAAAGCCACAAAUGAAAACAAUUGAUCAAAGAAUAUUGAGAGCUAUAGAGUAUAUCUGAUGGUCAGGGAAGUGGAGUUGCUUAUUGUUUUAAUUUAAACUCAGACAUCCACACACACCAGGUCUGGGGAAACGCCUCUUGGCUUUUGAAAAGUCCAUAAUGAUUGAUAUUCACUGGCAAGAAAGUUUGUUCGGAAACCAUUUUCAUAUUCUACUGAAGGAAAUCCUAUCCAAGCCAUAUGGAUACAAUGAACUUUUUAUUAAUCAUAAACUAUAGAAUCCCUAAUUUCA
Molecule: long non-coding RNA, 1450 nt
Organism: Oncorhynchus nerka (sockeye salmon)
Lineage: Eukaryota; Metazoa; Chordata; Actinopteri; Salmoniformes; Salmonidae
Exons: 3
Source: RefSeq, a predicted model, not a curated record